GACGAACGCUGGCGGCGUGCCUAAUACAUGCAAGUAGAACGCUGAAGCUUGGUGCUUGCACCGAGCGGAUGAGUUGCGAACGGGUGAGUAACGCGUAGGUAACCUGCCUGGUAGCGGGGGAUAACUAUUGGAAACGAUAGCUAAUACCGCAUAAGAGUAGAUGUUGCAUGACAUUUGCUUAAAAGGUGCAAUUGCAUCACUACCAGAUGGACCUGCGUUGUAUUAGCUAGUUGGUGAGGUAACGGCUCACCAAGGCGACGAUACAUAGCCGACCUGAGAGGGUGAUCGGCCACACUGGGACUGAGACACGGCCCAGACUCCUACGGGAGGCAGCAGUAGGGAAUCUUCGGCAAUGGACGGAAGUCUGACCGAGCAACGCCGCGGGAGUGAAGAAGGUUUUCGGAUCGUAAAACUCUGUUGUAAGAGAAGAACGAGUGUGAGAGUGGAAAGUUCACACUGUGACG
Molecule: ribosomal RNA, 464 nt
Filed under: Streptococcus sp. oral taxon C08
Lineage: Bacteria; Bacillati; Bacillota; Bacilli; Lactobacillales; Streptococcaceae
Description: bacterial SSU rRNA
Rfam family: Bacterial small subunit ribosomal RNA
Source: RNAcentral